UGCCGGGUAGUGUAAUGGCAACACGGUUGGUUCUGGUCCAACAGCUCGGGGUUCGAUUCCCUGCCCGGCAA
This 71-nucleotide transfer RNA is filed under the name Candidatus Harrisonbacteria bacterium. RNAcentral describes it as "tRNA-Gln". It matches the Rfam family "tRNA". From Rfam's summary of the family: Transfer RNA (tRNA) molecules are approximately 80 nucleotides in length. Their secondary structure includes four short double-helical elements and three loops (D, anti-codon, and T loops). Further hydrogen bonds mediate the characteristic L-shaped molecular structure. tRNAs have two regions of fundamental functional importance: the anti-codon, which is responsible for specific mRNA codon recognition, and the 3' end, to which the tRNAs corresponding amino acid is attached (by aminoacyl-tRNA synthetases). tRNAs cope with the degeneracy of the genetic code in two manners: having more than one tRNA (with a specific anti-codon) for a particular amino acid; and 'wobble' base-pairing, i.e. permitting non-standard base-pairing at the 3rd anti-codon position. Lineage: Bacteria; Candidatus Harrisoniibacteriota. The record is from RNAcentral.